Molecule: unclassified non-coding RNA, 329 nt
Filed under: soil metagenome
Description: partial contains 5.8S ribosomal RNA, internal transcribed spacer 2, and large subunit ribosomal RNA
Rfam family: 5.8S ribosomal RNA (bases 1-120)
Source: RNAcentral
GAUGAAGAACGUAGCGAAAUGCGAUAAGUAAUGUGAAUUGCAGAAUUCAGUGAAUCAUCGAAUCUUUGAACGCACCUUGCGCUCCUUGGUAUUCCGAGGAGCAUGCCUGUUUGAGUGUCAUUUCACCACUCAAGCCUGGCUUGGUGUUGGGCGACGUCCCCUUUGGGGACGCGCCUCGAAACGCUCGGCGGCGUGGCACCGGCUUUAAGCGUAGCAGAAUCUUUCGCUUUGGAAGUCGGGGCCCCGUCUGCCGGAAGACCUACUCGCAAGGUUGACCUCGGAUCAGGCAGGGAUACCCGCUGAACUUAAGCAUAUCAAUAAGCGGAGGA